AUGGUGCUCGCGGAGCUGGGCGGUAGCAUCUCCCGCGCGCUGGCGCGGAUGAGCAGCGCGACGGUGGUCGACGAGAACGUGCUCCGGGAGUGCCUCAACGAGAUCGCGCGCGCGCUAAUGCAGGCCGACGUCCGCUUCAAGAUGGUCUGCGACCUGCAGGCCAACAUCAAGAAGUCCGUCAACCUCGAGGCCCUCGCCGCCGGCACCAACAAGCGCCGCGUCAUAGAGACCGCCGUCGGGAAGGAGCUCUGCAAGAUGCUGGAUCCCGGGAAGCCCGCCUUCGUCCCCAAGAAGGGCAAGCCCAACGUCGUCAUGUUCGUCGGACUGCAAGGCUCUGGGAAAACCACCACAUGUACCAAAUACGCGCAUUAUCAUCAGCGCAAGGGAUUCAAGCCGUCACUGGUUUGCGCCGAUACGUUCCGGGCCGGUGCUUUCGAUCAGUUGAAGCAGAACGCAACCAAGGCCAAGAUACCUUUCUACGGAAGCUACAUGGAAUCAGACCCUGUCAAGAUUGCUGUGGAGGGCCUGGAAAAGUUCAGGCAAGAGAAAUCUGAUCUCAUCAUCAUCGACACGAGUGGGCGCCAUAUGCAGGAGGCUGCGCUCUUCGAGGAGAUGCGCCAAGUUGCGGAAGCAACGAAACCAGACCUGGUGAUAUUUGUGAUGGAUGGCAGCAUUGGUCAGGCUGCAUUCGAUCAGGCACAGGCAUUCAAACAGAGUGCUUCCGUUGGAGCUGUGAUUAUCACGAAAAUGGAUGGUCAUGCGAAAGGAGGCGGUGCACUGAGCGCGGUUGCAGCUACGAAAAGCCCGGUGAUAUUUAUUGGAACUGGAGAACACAUUGAUGAAUUUGAUGUUUUCAAUGUGGAACCAUUUGUCGGCCGUCUGCUAGGUAGAGGAGACUUGCCUGGCUUACUCGACAAGAUGGAAAGUAUUGUGCCUGCUGAUCAACAAUCUGAGCUUGUGGCAAAGCUGGCUGAAGGAGCCUUCACUCUCAGACUUAUGUAUGAGCAAUUCCAGAAUCUCCUGAAAAUGGGGCCAAUGGGCCAGAUCUUCUCCAUGCUGCCCGGGUUUAGCUCGGAGCUGAUGCCAAAGGGACAGGAGAAACAAAGCAAAGAAAAGAUCAAGCGGUACAUGACGAUCAUGGACUCCAUGACAGCCGCAGAGCUCGACAGCAAGAACCCGAAGCUGAUGACCGAGUCGCGGAUCCUCCGGGUCGCUCGAGGGUCGGGCAGGCAAGUGAAGGACGUGACGGACAUGCUGGAAGAGUACAAGCGACUGGCCAAGAUGUGGAGCAAGCUGAAUGUGUCGAAAUUGAUACCGCCGAACGGAAAGAUGAGUGAUCAGGCCAUCCAGAAGAUGCUCAAAGCCAUGCCGCCGCAAGUGGUGCAGCAGAUGGGGGGCAAAAGUGCCUUCGAGGCUCUGGUGAAGCAAAUGGGCGGCAAGGACAUGAGCAAAAUGCUUGCUGGCAUGAAGGGUGGUGCUUAG
Molecule: ribosomal RNA, 1482 nt
Filed under: Triticum aestivum (bread wheat)
Lineage: Eukaryota; Viridiplantae; Streptophyta; Magnoliopsida; Poales; Poaceae
Description: partial small subunit ribosomal RNA
Source: RNAcentral